GUCUUUUUGAAUUAAAUUUAAAGUCUAACCUGCCCACUGAAAAUUUUAAAUGGCCGCAGUAUUCUAACUGUGCAAAGGUAGCAUAAUCAUUAGUCUUUUAAUUGAAGGCUGGAAUGAAUGGUUGGACGAAAUAUUAACUGUUUCAUUUAAAUUUUUUAUAGAAUUUUAUUUUUUAGUUAAAAAGCUAAAAUAAAUUUAAAAGACGAGAAGACCCUAUAAAUCUUUAUAUUUUAUUUAUUUUAAUUAUAAAGAUUAUUUUUGUUAUAAUAAAUUAAAAUAUUUUAUUGGGGUGAUAUUAAAAUUUAAAAAACUUUUAAUUUUUAAAACCAUUAAUUUAUGAAUAAUUGAUCCAUUAAUAAUGAUUAAAAAUUUAAGUUACUUUAGGGAUAACAGCGUAAUUUUUUUGGAGAGUUCAUAUCGAUAAAAAAGAUUGCGACCUCGAUGUUGGAUUAAGAUAUAAUUUUGGGUGUAGCCGUUCAAAUUUUAAGUCUGUUCGACUUUUAAAUUCUU
RNAcentral lists this ribosomal RNA (510 nucleotides) under Drosophila sordidapex. RNAcentral describes it as "partial 16S ribosomal RNA". It matches the Rfam family "Bacterial large subunit ribosomal RNA", at positions 1825 to 2597 of the family's 2925-position model. Lineage: Eukaryota; Metazoa; Arthropoda; Insecta; Diptera; Drosophilidae. The record is from RNAcentral.